UUCACUUUCGCUUGCUGCCGGGAGAGGAGUGGGUGUGCUUUCCAAGCCAGGUGCCUUCAUCAAGGAUUAUAAAAACCCAUUUGAACUGGGAUGGGACUCUAUUUAGCCUCAAGCACAUGAACCAUGAGCACUACAAAAGAAGAACAAAGAGUUGCUAUAGUGGCCGUGAUGCAACUAGAAUACAUCCAAGGGAUUAAACAUGGCUUCAAAGAUCUAGAAGACUUACUCCCAGCAGAUGAGGAAUUUAGAUACAGCCAUGGACAAUUACACUUUUCAUUUCUAUAAGGUUACUGUUUAGCCCAGCGUUUAAUAUGAAAAGAUGGUAACACUACUAAGAGUACAACAUUACUGUAUUUUUAUGUCAACUGCGGCUGUUUUCUUAGUCUUCAUAUUACAACCAGAGCCCACUGAUAUUGUUCAGAAUUCAUUUUCAUCGUCUUAUAUACAUUUGCUGUAGUAUCAACUGCUCAAGAGACUCAUCUGCCUGCCAGUAAUUCUGGGCAUACCUCUCAGGUGGGACACUAAUGAAAGUGAAAAUGAAAUAGUUCAGUGAUGAUAUAAAAGAGCAAGAUAGAGUCAACGGUGAAAACAGAGGCAGAAAGACAGGAGUGCUCAUCCUGAAUUCAAAAUGAAGUCAACCUUAAUUUUAGUUUCUAAAAGCUUAUGCUUCAUACUUGAAGUUUUACUUAACGUUAGCUUGAACAGUUCAAAUUUAAUUUCCAUCUUGAUUUAUGUAAGUAUGAGAACUGAAUUCAUGCUAUGAUUAAGCAAUUGUGAUUUUUAUUGUUGUUGUUCAUUCAGGACAUCCUAAAAACAUUAGAACUCAAGAAUGUACCCAAUAUGUGUGUUCUUAUUUCAAGUCAGAAUAAUAAAAUGGCUAAAAAAUGUUCAAUAUCUAUUUAGCAGAGUACACAUACCAAUGCUUAUACGCCAUAUGUGCUAUGUAUUUAUGAUAGCUAUAGAUUUACAAUAUGUAUAAAGAAUGGUGUGUACAUUCUAUAUAUAUGAGCCAUAUGUAUUUGAUAUAUAUGGAAAGUAUACAGGGACAAAAUAAAUUGCUAAUGAUUGCAUUUUAAUGGAUUAUUUCAGAGUUCUCAUAUUAGAAUGACAGACUAGAAUGUUUGAGUGAAAGAACAGAAAACAUUAAGAAACAGUUCUCUGAGAAGCCAUAUUGAAAAUAUGGAUGUAUAUAUUUUUACACCACAUAUGUGUAUGAAGUUCAGUACCUUAUUGAGAAAGAAAGAAAUUAUAGUAAUUCUUCUGUUGUUAUUGAAUACCAAUUAUUUAAGGCUAGUGAUGCCUUAAAAGAAUAAAUUGCAUUGUAUGGAAAUCUCCACUGUCCCGGAGGGACAGUGCAGGAUAGAUAUAAUUCUAAAAGCUUUCUUAAACUGCAAUAUACAGCAUCAAUUUUGUUCUAGGCACUUUUUAGAGUCUUGCAGGAAAUUCCACUCUAAGAGAUUGCAUCCUAUUCCUAUACUCUCUCCACCCACUUUGCUUCUCUGUGUUUUUUGUCUUUAAAAUGUUAACUUCUUAGCAUACAUAUAUCCCAAACUACUUACUGUUAAGUUAAACUGUACACUACUUUAUUCAUGUAAAGCAAAAUAGACACUACAACUUCCAUAGUUGAAUUCAGCCUGUGUUAAUUAAUCUGCUCUGAAGUACAGCUGGUCUGAGCUGGAUUGCUUUCAGCUACCUAAACAAAUCUAAGUCCUGUAUCUCUAUAAUAAAGACAGUCUCCAGUACGGACAUAUUUAAAUAUAUAAGGCUAUGCUUGUGAGCAACCCAAAUGAGUUAUAAUCACUCUUAGUGAAAAUAAUGUGAUUAAGCUUAGUAAUAAAAUCCAAAUUUUACUAAUCACAAUUAUAAGCAUGCAGUCUAAAUACUGCUCCACUAAAACCGAAGUUAGGGUAUAAAUGUAGUUUUAUUUAUCUCUGAAGUAAGAGCUUUUCUGUGCUUUAAACAACUUAUUUGCCUUCAUUGCUAAGUAUUUUCUCUAAUAACAACUUAAUAUCCUUCAGCAUCACAUCUAAUAAAAAAUUCAGUUAGCAUCAAACUACAAGUGUGUGAUGAGUGUUCAUCCAUUUUAAGAAGAAACAGACUUCUGUAUAUUUAAAGCAAUAAUUUUAACACUUGUCAUCUUAUUCCCAAAGGGACUUUUAAUGUUAUGUAAACAUUAACAUUUCCAUUAUUAAAGUUUACGAAUGUAUUUACAAAAAAGAACUGUUGACAUAGAUAUUUCAAAAAGAAAGAAAAGUACAUGUUGCUCAUGACUGAAAAAUUACUUGUUUUCAAGUAAUUUCUGUUAAUAAAUAAAGUUAAGGGAAGGGAAGGGGAAUGGGAAGGAGAAAGAAAAAAUGAAAAAGAAAAAAAAAGAGAAAAGAAAAGAGAAAAAGAGAAGAGAAAAAGAAAAGCUGUUGCAAUCCAGAGACUGACUGGAUUGUAAGGAGGUCAGUUUCUCUAUUAUUCUAAAAUGAUCUUUCAGUCCAGCUCUAUAUAAAUGGAAAAUUCAGCAAAAAUAAAAAAGACUCAGAGAUUCUGUUGCCCAGAUAAACCUCAAAUAUGAAAUCUAUCUGAAGUGGGUAAGACUACAGCAAAAGUAACAUGGAAGGGAAACAUCAGGCCUCCUCCAUGAAAACUGAUGGUGGGUUUUGUGCAGAUGUCUUGACUGACUAUUUUAAGUACAAGUGAAUAUUAAUGUAAGGUUCUGUCUGCCAUCAAAUGGCUUAGCAUCAUUUUUCUUCAUUCUCAGUGCCAUUUUAUUGUUAAUUCAUUUUUAAGAACAGCAUAUUUCUUUAACCUCUCAAAGCUCUUUUCCUCCCUCCUCCGUCAUUCUCCCCAGGAAUGUCUUGCACGUUGAUUUGAUUUAUGCCAAGACAGUGAAUAGUAUUUUAUUCUAAAUGUCAGAUUUACAUGUUAUGUGUACUUAUUCAUAGAUACUUUCAUCUCUCCAUGCUAAAUGGGAUUUUUUUGUACUUCAAAGCUUGGAUAGUUUUCUUAAAAAAAAAAAAAGAAAAAGAAAAAAAAAGGAAAACCAAUUAUCAUAUUCUUAUGCAUAUGAUCAUUGAUAUGACAAGGUUGAAGUUAAAUUUCUUGGAAAUGUGUGGCCAAGGGGGAUCUUAUUUUAAAAUAUAAAUCUCCCUUGUAUAUAUUUUUGAACCAAGUGAGGUCUAGUGUAUCCCUUUUACUUUUGGAGGAGAGAGAGGGGAGAAGAAGGAAGUGGGCAUCUAUUUAUUCUUGCCCAAAGCUUGACUGUGAUAGUAACUGAUAUUUCAAUAACUGACAAAACUUACAAAAGUGUUAAGUAUAUAUGGAAAUCUUGAAAAUAUUAAACUCUUGACUUAUUGGCAUGAACUACCAGCUAGACAGCUGCCUUUCACAUGUAAAUAUCUGACCCUAUAUGGCUUCCAAUUCUGUUUUGGUGCCCAUGAAAUAAUCAUUUUUGGUCAGCAAAAACCUGGAGACAGUCAUAAUAUCAAACAUCUAGUCUAGCCCUAAACCAUUUUAAAAUCUAAUAGAAUUAGCAAGUUCAUUCAGAUAAUAUUCCUAUUGAUAGCUGCAGCUUUUACCGAAGAAUUGGUAGAGGACAUUAGAGAAGCCAAAACUACUGGAUAAAGCGCUUUAAAAGGCAAGAUAUUUCUACAUAAAUUUACCUGAAAUUAACUGAAUUUCCCUAUUCCUUCAUAAAAAUGUACAUUUAUAUAGAGAAAGAGAUAUAUUUUCAAAAUAUUACUGGUUUCCUAUUUAAAAUAAUUAAAUAAUUAACUAAAUAAAACAUUGUCAAAAAGCAUUUUAAACAUAAGAAAACCAACUCAGCUUCUUUAUUGCAAUUGUGGCAACACAGAAGGACACUGGGAAUGACUCCAGUUUUUGUAUUUUUAACUCCUAAAAUUCAUGCUUAUGGCAGACUUAAAGAAGGCACUUUAUCCCUUUGGAUUAGUAUCAGCAAGACAUAUCUGAAAGACUUCAUUAGUAUUAAUAUACUAUGUGGUCAUGCAGCUGGAAAAAAUAAUCACCCAUACUUCCUCAUGCCAUAAGCCUUGUUGGAUGCCCCUGAGUCAUAAGAAAUUUAUGAAGAAUAGAAGUGUUUGGCUGACUACAGGAGAUACUCGAAUAUUUAAUUAUGUGAAGUGCUCAACACAGGAACCAGUACAGCAAAAAUUCAUUGAAAGACAGAACUCAUGUUACUGUUCCUAUUUUUAAUAUACUUUCUCAGCCCAAACUCUUAAAACUCUUAAAACUGUCCCUAGCUCCUCCAGAGGCUGGCUAAUAUUAUUACUCAAUUCAUUUGAACUAAGGAGAAUUUUUCCUAAUCAAACAGCUCUUAAUAGGAUACUGCUCAUUCAUGACAGGAAAAAAAUGUGUCAAUUUAGAAUCUUCACUGAGGUCAUUAGGACUCUAUCCUAAUUUCCCAUUUUAAGCUAUGGCUACUUGGUUAUCCUAAUCCAAAUUGUUUGGGUUUCCACUUCCAAAUUAGACUGUGCCUGAGUGGGCCUCAGAUCCAUAUGUGUCUAUGGCAGACUUCUGCUUUCCAGUGCCUGCAGCUGCACACCAGGCACUGUCUGUUACAGAAUCUCAAAUGACUGGCCAGUCACAUCAUGGCAUCUGAAUCCUUAUUACUGGCUUAAAAGUUUAGUUUACAAUUGGAAUUGAAGUUACUCAAAAUUUAAGAACAUUCUUUUCGACAGAAGCAUUUGUACAUUUUCUUAAUGUUUUUGUCACAAAAUCUAGAGAAUCAUACAAUCCAAGAUAAAAAAUUGUUUUCUUAAUUCAAGAACUUGCUUAAAUGAAAUUUGUCAAAAUUUUCAACAGAAUUUCCCAAUUCACCUGUGCCACUAGGACUACUAAUUUACCACAUGGUAAUAGCAGAAGAGAAAUUCUAGAAUUUCCUGAACGCAAAAACUAGUGAAGCUCAUGUAAGAUUUUUUACACAGAGUAUCUUUUUUAAGAGCAGAAGGGAAUAUAAUAUAUACAUAUGGAGACAAGAAUUUAUUGAUAUUGUUAUUCAAGUUCAUAUUUCAACAAUCUGAUAGUUCAUAUUAUGAAAUAUGGAAAAUUUUCAGUAAUAAUACAGUUAAAAUUAUUUUCUUAAAAAAAAAAAAAAAGUCUUUGCUAGUGUCUACCAGUUUUAUGUGGUAUUAUGCUCACCAUUCCAAUGUCCUUCUAGAUACAAUCAUAGAAUCAUUUAGGUUGGAAAAUAAACCUGAGAUCACCAAGUAAACAGUAAGUUCAAAAUCACUGUAACUAGUAGAGUAUUAGUCCUAAUAUGAUAUUAAUGCAUUUCUGUUUUGACAGUAUUAGUAGCAAAAAGAAAACAUUAUACAACGUGUCCUAUAAAUUUAAAAAAACAAAAAAAAAAGUAUAUUUUUGCAUAAUGUAAUGACACCUGCAUAAUAACUAGAGUAGUUAUUUUACUGGUACUUCCUAAGUAUUAGUUAAAACAUAUUAAAACUAUGUUUGUAAUAUUAAACCCUUUAGUUAUAUUUUCCAAAUAACAUAUGUUGCUCUUAUGCUUUUAAUAGAGACCUGUAGAAUGUUGAAAUAGAAUCUAGUCAUAAAGGGUAAGCUAUCCAUGAUAACUAAGAAUCAAAAUCAGUCCAGCUAUGCACCUCUUUGAAAUUCUUCUCCAUGUUAUAUUAUUAUUUGAAUUGAAAGUAUAGUGAACUACUCACCAUAUCCUACAUUCUCCAAAUUUGUUAGAAUGGACUAAGCCUGGCUUUGAUAAUUACAGAAAAAGCUGAUGUCCUUAUUAGACUGACAAAGGAGUUGUUGAAUAUUUGCUAAAGUACCAAUUAAUUAUCAUGGAAGUUAGAUAUUAUAGUCUGAUGACCUAGUUAAAGAAACAUUAAUUAUAGUCUACUAACCUUGUCACAUGAGGCUAAAAGCUACAGACCUCCUACAGAAAAAAAUAAUAAUAUUCUUCUGCAGUCACACAAAUGUCUGAGGGAUCAACUGUUAAAAUUUCUUCUGGGACUCUCAAGAUAGAAUUCCCAAAUAGGAAAGCAUACAGUUCACAUGAAUGAAUUGAAGGAUAGAGGAUUCAACUGUAAUAUCAAAUGUAUAUUAAUUAACCUUUUAGUAAAAGCCUGCAAAAUGUAAAUUUCCUUAAAAUGUAAACAAGAAUGGGUACAAAAAGUAGCAAAGAGAUCAGUGAACAGCACUCAUUUUCUGGUCUUAUAGAAUUGAAGGACAUUUGAGUCAAUGAGCAAGCUGAAAACUUCAGAGAGUAUACAAGCGGUUACAGAACAUAGCAUGGAACUCUCACAGAGAAGACACAACUGGCAGUGCAAUGGACAGAGUCAGCAUCUGUGACAGAGUACUGAGGCUCCAGCGGCCACAACACUAUCAUCAUGUAUGAGACAGCUACUGAGGCAGAGCACGUCAGUCUGGCUACUUCAGAUGGUCCAUGCCCAUGUGCUUUUCAGAGCCCAUAAUUUUUAGAAGUGCAGGAAGAAAAGAACUCAUCCUUCACUUUUCCUGGGUUUGUGCAAAAGGCUGAGUGAGCACAGUUGCUGCAGGAGUUGCAAUGUGUGCAAUAGUUAUUCUCCUCCACCACCUUUCUUACAUCAAGAAAGAACAUCAAAUAUUUGUGCUAGAAGCUUGCUGCAUAAAGACUACAACAGCCAUCAUUUUUAUGGCCCCCUUCAAAGCUGUGGGCACCUGGACUGAGCAAUCUUGAACAAUGUCCAAAGACAUGGGUUGCAACUUACGUCAUUUCAGUGCACAUGACUCAUAUUUUACUAAGAGACAGAACCUGUCACAACCAGACUUUUCUGACAUUCUUUGCACAGAAAAACUUUGGGAGGAGAGGUAGUGUUAAAAAUUCAACCAAAUGAAAAAAACAAAAACAAACAAACAAACAAACAAAAAAAAACAUUGAAAUAGGCAAUAAGGGAAUUAUAGACAGAGAGAGAGAGCCAAGAAUUUAUUAACCAUCAACAGUUCUCCUUCCAAAGUCCCUCUUUAUCCUGUGUAUGAUAGUAUCAGUCUUCCUCAAGAACUGAAUAGGAAAAGGAAGUUGUGGCAAGAUGUCAUCCCUAGUUUUUUGGAGGAACUGUGAUAUUUAUGCUGGACUUUCCUUCUUGGUCUUGGGCUUUUUUUAUGUACAUUCUUACCCCAGUCUGCUGUCCUCCCCUGCUCCCAGGGCAGAGGUGAAAUUUGCUCCACAGGCCUCUGUCCAAUACCUUCGAGGCUGUGAUCCCUGAAAGAACUGCGUUGGGCUUUCAGCCCCUUCCCAACAUGUCAUUCUCAAAGCUCAGACAGUCUAGGCAGUGGGUACUUGGCUGUCUGCAAAAUCCAGCUCAUUCUUACUCAGGCUGAGGGUAGUGAAGCCACAUUUUCAGAACUGAAUGAGAAGCAUCAGCACAAGUCAGGAAAGUGAGUUUUAAAUUAACCUCCUACUCGUUUUUCCUGAAAGCUCUAAAGUGUUUUGGGGUUUGGUGAAUAACUGUUCUGCAUUCACCUUACUUAUGACCUUCAUGACUCUAUAAACUUAAGACAUAUUUCCUCUCAGUUUCCUCCUUUCCAAGCUGAGACCUUUUAGUUUUGUUUUGUAAGAUAGCUACUCUUUGCCCUCAAUCACACUAACGGCUCUUUCUUAUACCUCCUUUACCCUCUUGCUAAUUCUGAAAUAACUUCCACAUAACACUAAGACCAGAACUGUAAGCACUUCUCAUGAUGUUGUACAAGUCAUUAUAUCUCGGAUUUCUUCUAGCCCACUCUUUGAACAAGGUAAACAGAUUUUCCCUUCUCUUUUUCCCUCAUUUUGUUUCCUUACUGUGCAAUAGUAAACAAAAGGUACACAUCCCUAAUAGCAUUUUUAGCUCUCUCUACUUCUGUAGGUUUUUUUGUUAAUAUAGACCUGAUCUCCCUACCACUGACUUAUUUUAAGAGAGGCAUUAUAUUCACACAGUGUGUCUGCACAAUGUGUUUCCACAAUGUGUGUGAUAUGAUGCAUCCCUAUCUCAUCUGGCAUAACCAUAACUAUUGUUCUUAAAAAGGAAUUGGUGUGUGUUGUAUGCAGUUAUAACCAAAAUUAUCACAGAAUAUAAAUCUAUAAACCUACUAUGAAUUACCACUAUAAAUCCGUAAUACUUCUGAGAAUACAAGCAAGCAAACAAAAUGGUAACACAAGAAUAAAUAACAAGUAAAUGGAGUAGAUAUUUCUUUAAUAGCUUGCUACUCUUUGUAAGUUCUGUGGUCACUGAAAAAGGUUUUAAUGACUAUUUUUGGUCUUCCCCCCAGUUAUGAGACUCUUGUGAGGCUUCUACUCUUAUUAUUCAUGCAAUAGUUAUUUGCUAAAAAUCAGGCAUCAGUAUCUUGGUUGCUGCUUCUAUGAGUUUUCAGCGUAUAAAACCACAGAGCUGAAUUUGGGUAAACCUUCACUCAGGGAUGGGCUUCUUUUUCUUCUUCUUUUUUUUUACACAGCAUGAGCAAACAAACAUUCCUGCAACUAAUCUUGCCUGUAACUCAGCCAAACACAGUGGAAAUAAAAAGGCUCUAAUUUACUGUGUCCCAUAUCCCAUUUCAGAAGUAGAUCCAAAGCAAGUCUUCAGUUGAUAUGGCUACAAAAUUUUUUCAAAGUAUGUUUUUUACCAGCAUAGUGAAAUGGUCCUAUAAAUACUGUGAUGACAUAUGGAGCACUGGACAACAUUGGCAACUGCAACCAUACCCACAUGUUUUCCUGAACAGACAGAUGGAGCAUCUGGGCUUGUGGCGAGGUGAUUUAACUGCUUCCCAAUUCAACUGGCAUUUUCACAAAUCCUUGAGCAAUUGUCUAAUUAUGUGCAAAACUGGAAACACUUAGGAAAACACCUAGACUAAUCACCUCCUGAGUACUAUUCUAAAUUGCAGAAUUGGUGCUCCUGCUCUGUUGCAUCCAUAAGCAUGAACAGAAUAUUGAUUCUGCAAGACAUACGUCAUACCAAAACCAAAAAUAAGCAACAGAAUUAUCUGUCAGAGAAAUAAAUUUCUCAGUCUGUGCUACUAAGUCUAUACAUGCAGUCAUACUGUACUUUCUGCACAACCCAUUUCUGUUGAUGUUUUAUGGAUUAACAGUACACAGAUGAUGAGACUACUUCUGUUAUCUCAGAUAAUUCCUUUAACUGUGAGAUUCUUUAGCUCUUACAAGUUUCAUCAUCAUCUGACUCUUCUCUCUUUUGCUGUAGCCUUUUCUGAUUUUUCUCCUGAAUUUUCUUGCUUUUGAAGAGUUUUAGUAUCCCGAAAAGAUAUUCUUCCAUACGGGCUUUAAGAAAUGGAUGUCAGUAAAUCUCAUAUCUGCUUCACAUAUAUUAAGUUCAAAUUUUCCAGAUCCAUCUCAUUUUCCUCAAAGAUCAUAUGAUUUAUUUUUCUUCAUCAUCUCCAUUCUUGCUUCUAUUUGCAUAGGCAGCAUUAACAAGACCAGGAGUGAUGGCAGCCAAGUUGAUUUUCACAGACAGUUAUUAUCUUUAAGUUUAUUUAAGUUCUCCUUUGAUAUAGAUUUAUAAAUAGUUCAUUAUCUUUCAUGUGAAUCUGAAUCUAAAUGUUUAUUUCAAUAACAUUUUUUCAACAAGCUGGUAAGUAAUCAGUGUGAACUCUGAGUACAUAGAACAAUAACAGUGAAAAAAACAUUUCUAAGAACAUUAUGGAUUAGAUAUUCAUGUUUGCCUUGUGUAGAAAGGUAUCGUAAAACAUCCGUUGCAAGAUUCCAUAAGAAAUAACUACAACAUCUCUAGCACUUCUAUUUCUCAGCAUAACACUUCAUCAUCUUUGUAUCUACGUCAAAGCACUUGAUUAGUUUAAAGUCUGUCUGUCAUGAAACAGUUGAUGGUUAACAGCAUAAUUGGGUAUUUCUAUCUUUCUAGUGUUCCAAAAAUCCAUUUUUCUAUUAGAUCAUAUUUUGCUUUUGGCCAACAUUUAGUGAGAAAUGUCUUUGGAGUACUAGUUGAAUACACUUACUGAAAAAAAUUGCCUUUUUAUGCUUGCAGAGUUGUGAAGCAAAGAAUACAGUGCUGUUUCUGGAUAAUUGUUAAUAUGUGACCAGACAUUCUGCAAACCACAGAAAAUAAAUCUGCAUAAUAAAUGUAAAUCUAUUAGAGGGAAUUCUAAAGUGUUCUACUGUAGAAUACUGUCUUACAUAGCAUUUUUCCUAACUACUGGCUGUACUUGAAAGAGCAAGAAGCAGAGGUAGGCAAGCAGGAAAGGUUUAAAUGGUGAAAGAGUUUACAUAGAGACUGGAUGGUAUGGGAAUUGUUUUUUUUAGCUCUAAUCAAACAAGCUACUUCAAGAUGGAAUUAUGGCAGUUCUUUCAGAAAAUGAACAUGAAAUGCUUUGUUCUCCUUUGAAAUGUAUGCAAUGAAACAAUACUUCUGCAAAGAAAACUAGCAAAUUAUGCCUGGAUUUAUGCAUCUUUUUUUUUUUUUUUUUUUUUUUUUUUUUCCCACCUUGUGAUAAAAGCAGCUAAUGAAGAAAUGGAGAUAUAUUACAGAUAUAUUUCAAUACCUCAUGUUAAUUGAUAUCACAUUACUGAAGACUUUUUUUCUUAAGAGUCAAACAUUACAGGGAAUAUUAAAAAUUCUAAAACCUCAUAACAACACCGUGGAAUGGAGAAAAAAAAAGAUGGGAAUAAAUGGCUGGAAACAGUUACUGAAGGUUUUAACAAAUUAAGCUCGUUCUCCAUAAUGAUUAGUUAUAAAAAUGGUCUUCAGCUAGUCCUUCACAGGACGAGGGAAAAUGGCUCUAAACUUGAAGAGGGCAAAUUUAGACUAGAUAUUAGGAAAAAACUCUUUACUAUGAGGGUGGUGAGACAUUGGAACAGGUUGCCCAGAGUAGUUGUGAAUGCCCCCUUCUGGAAGCAUUCAAAGCCAGGCUGGAUGGGGCUUUGAGCAACCUGGUCUAGUGGGAGGUGUCCCUGCCUAUAGCAGGGGGUUGUAACUACAUGAUCUUAAACCCAACCCAAGCCCCUUCCAACCCAAACCAUUCUACAGAUCAUAAUUCAUAUUCAUGAUUAUAUGAUGCUGCCUGACAUAACUGAAAAUUUUCUUUGACAGAGCACUUAUCAAUGUUACAUAGACCUAUUCUAUUGUUUUUUAUUAUUCAUAUGAUCAGGGAUGGUGUACAGAGCUUCCUAUAUUAUAUUACUGUUUCAGAUAUGGUUCACAUGAGGAAAUUACUUAAAGUGAAAUACAAAAUAGUGAUAUGCCCUUUCCUAUAAUAUAUGAAUAAGGAUAGGAAAUGAAAUUAAUGAAUUGGAGUUAGGGAACAAAUAUGGGAAAAUGCUUUUCAUGCAAUGUGCAAGUAAAGAUUCAUUGUUCCAGACUUUUGAAAAUGCCAAAGUUUAUCUGCAGUAAAAAAGCACUGGAGUAAAUUUAUCAAAGAAAUAUUCAUCAAAUGCUCAUUUCCACACAGGUUUAGGAUAUCCAAAGGACAUUGAAAGCAGAAAAUGAGGAGGACAGCCUGGUCAGGCCUUGGUUAUUGGUUUAGAAUAAACUUUAGAAUAAACCAGCUUUCUACAGUCAAAGAGAUAGGAAUAAAACAAUGCAGUAUUCAAGAGUGAUUAAGUUCAUUUCACACAUUAGCAGUGUGCCACCUGAUACACACAAAUACAUUUAUACUAUAUUAAGAUUUGGACAUUUUUUGUUCACUAAUGCCAUCACUCCAUCAUAAAAGGCCAUUCUUUUAUGCUCUAUUGAAGCCAUGUUGGCUGUCUCUGAUCACCUCCUCAGCCUGUAUGCACCUUAAUAUAGCUAGCAGGAGGAUCUGUUCCAUGAUCUUCCUGGGUACAGACAUGAGGCUCAAGAGCGUGUAUUACUCUGGGUCUUCUUUUCUCUUUUUCUUAAAAAUGGGAGUGAUAUUUCAUAUUUUCCAGUAAGCAGAGACUUUGCCUGGCAACCAUGACUUUUCAAAUAUGAUGGAGAGUGGCUUGGCAAACACAGCAGCCAGUUCCUGGGGGAUUCAUGUUGUCUGGCUCCAUAGAUUUAUUAAUGAAGCAGUCUCAUGAGGCAGUUUCAUGUAGCAGUCUCAGAUUUGCUCUUACAGUGGAAGGGGUUUUGCUCCACCAACUCCCACUUAGAGAUGUAGGGAUGUGAGAGGCAUGGGAAGCCUGACUGUUAGUGAAGAUGGAGGCAAAGAACUUACUGAGUUCUUCAGCUUUCUCUGUAUCUGUUGCAAACAAUGUUCCCUAUUCAUUUACCAGUGGGGGUACACUCUCCUUGGUUAGUUUCUUCUGACCAAUGUAGAAUUCAUUCUUGUUAUUUUUCACCUUGCCAAGUUCAGAUACAUCUGUGCCUUGGCUUUCCUGAUCCCAUCUCUACAUGUCUGGCAUUCCUUUAUUCUUUUCAGGUCACCCAUCCCUUCUUCCAUGUUCUGUAUAUCACUUAGUAUUAGACUCAGUAAUUAUAUUCUAAAAAUGUCCCAUUUUAAUUUGCAAAGAAAGACCAUAUCAUAUAGUUUAUCCUGAUAUUACCUCAGCCUUUGAAUUUAUUUUUAGCCACAAGUAAAAGGGAGAUAGAGCAAAAUAAUGAAACAAAAAUAAUUGUCAGUACUAUAAAUGAAAAUCAUUAGCUAUCUGCACAUACCAUCUGAUUUCAGCCCAUUCCUUCAACACACACUUUCAUGUUGGAAAAAAAAAAAAAAAGAUAAACUUGCUUAUGAGAUUACGGUCUUUAAAUAAAAUUUUGCUAAAACAAAGAUUUCAUAAUAAAACAUACCUCAGGAAGCAGUGAGUAACUCUGUCAUAAAAGCAAAAAUAAUUACUAUUUAUUUUAUUCCCUUUCCCCCGUCGUUUAAAUGCUGCUGCCUUGCAUUACUGUAAUUUAAGGGGAUGGUUAUUAAUACACUUCACCUUUCUGCACCCCCCUAGCUGUACUUGACUGACUAUGAACAGUAAGAAUGUGUAUUUUUCUGCUGAUCUGAACCUAAGCAUAAAAAUCACAUCCAAGGAGAGAAAUAAGCAAGUGCAGGCAUUCUGCUAGUCUUCUGAAUACUGCUUAAUGGGGAAAAGUCAAUGGAAUUGGCUUUGCUUUACAGUUACAUUUGUUAUGGAUACAUAUUCCACUUGCAUAUCUGAAUCUGUGCUAUUUUUGUUUACAAUUCUUUAGAUAGAUUUGCCACAAAAAAUGAGCCAUUUUCAAAGUGUACUAAGUAGACUACCUUCUUUCAAAAAAAAUCAUUUACAUAUUUCAUUUCCUUAGGCAGAUUCCUGAGGCAAUAAGGCAAGCAUGGUUUACUUUCAAUACAGUACACACAAAUAUUGUAUAUCUAACAUACAAUAUUCUAGACAGUACCAAACGAUUCACCAAUAACCUAGUAUUUCAGUAUUGCUUACUCUAGAUUGCUUUGGUUCAAUAAUUUUAUAUUAAGUCAUUUUGAAAAGCUAAUUUGAAAGAGGGCAUAUAACAGUGACAGGUACACUGACAUAUCUCACAUUCUUUAUAAAACAUCCAUAGCAACUUUACAGCAAAUGCAUUAUUUUGUCAUUUCAUUGUCUUAUGCUGGCAAAAUACUGUAGCAGAGAAUAGAAGUUCUCACAUUCAAAAGAUAUACUCGUAGGAAUAAGAUUUAUGGCAGAAAAACUUUUUUCACUUAUUAUUUUCAUCUAGUAGCUAGCCAAAAAAAUUGUAUUUCACAUUUUUUUUCUACAUGUGUACAGCUAAUAACUUAUAAAAUCAGAAUCACUAAUGUAAAGUUUAAAACAGAUAUGUUUUCCACUAACUUAGGGAACAUCAAGAAAAUUCAUAUUAAAACACGUAUUUGUUAAUAUUCCUGUUCUCUACAUUUUCUGUUCAAAGUGAAGACUAUACAUACCUACAUAUGCAAGUGUAUCUACUUUGGAUCAUUUUCAUUGGUGCGCUCUCCUGAUAAGCAAGCUUGACAAUGGAACAUUUGCUCAUUUUCAGUGUGAGCAAAAGGCUAAAGGCUGGUAGGUAAUGGGACACUGAAUUUAGUUCCUUUGGCCUACAUCUCUCUCCUCCUCCCUAUUAAGAAAAAUAUCAUUUAGACAACAGUUUGUUACUAAGACUUUUUGCUGCUUAUGUUGUUUUAAGGACAACCUUUGCUUUACAAAUUACACGACACAUGCAUGCAUACUGCAUUUAUGAAUUCGUGAACUGGAAAUACAUCUCAGAAUUCCCUAUAAUGCCAUAAAAGCUAUGAGAAGAAAAGCUUCUGAACAGAUCUUUGUAAGAACUCUGCCAUUUUAUUCAUUCAUUCAGAACUCCUUCACCCCUUUAAAACUGAAUGCCACAGAAAUGUUUCUGGCAGCAGCAGCUUUCCUGCUGUUUUGCUCUCUUUGCAUUGUAAGAGUGUCAACUGACUUGAUGUUCUUGCCUCUCCUGGGCAGGCAGGGGUUUCUAUCCCUACUUUGAGAAAACCUUCUCUUUCUUACCUCCAUGGGAUGUAUUUUUAAUGGUCUAACAACACUCUUCCAUAAAAAAAACUUUGUUUCAAAUACUAGCUCUCUAAAUCGUAACAUAUCUUUUACAGUUAAUUCUAAUCAAAACUAACUGUAUAUGGCUGUAGCCAUGGCAUUUGAAAUGGGCAAUUACAGAAAUGCCCAGAGAUACACAGGCUUUCAUUUAGAUUUACAAGCCAACUAAAUGGGUGCCAAUGACUAUUUACAUAGUGCUUUUUAAAAAUUUAUUUGCAUUCCAUACUGAAACAGUUUACCACUGACCUCAGAGCUGCAUCUAGUUAAAAUAAAUAAAUAAAUGGAUAAAUAAUUAAAUAAAUAAGGCAUCCUUU
Molecule: long non-coding RNA, 14715 nt
Organism: Gallus gallus (chicken)
Lineage: Eukaryota; Metazoa; Chordata; Aves; Galliformes; Phasianidae
Exons: 6
Source: RefSeq, a predicted model, not a curated record